Molecule: ribosomal RNA, 200 nt
Filed under: uncultured bacterium
Lineage: Bacteria
Description: partial 16S ribosomal RNA
Rfam family: Bacterial small subunit ribosomal RNA
Source: RNAcentral
AGAGUUUGAUCCUGGCUCAGGACGAACGCUGGCGGCGUGCCUAAUACAUGCAAGUCGAGCGAAUGACGAGGAGCUUGCUCCUCUGAUUUAGCGGCGGACGGGUGAGUAACACGUGGGCAACCUGCCCUGUAGACUGGGAUAACUUCGGGAAACCGGAGCUAAUACCGGAUAAUCCAUUUUACCUCAUGGUGAAAUGUUGA